GUGCACCAGGCGAGAAACCUUCACAAUGCACGAAAGUGUGAUGAGGGUACUCCGAGUGCGCAUACAUUGUAUGUGCUUUUCUGCAGCGUAAAUAGUUGCAGGAAUAAGGGCUGGGCAAGACCGGUGCCAGCCGCCGCGGUAACACCGGCAGCCCUAGUGGUGGCCGCUUUUAUUGGGCCUAAAGCGUCCGUAGCCGGACAGGCGAGUCUUUGGGUAAAUCCUACGUCUUAAGCGUGGGAAUUCUAAAGAUACUACCUGUCUUGAGGCCGGGAGAGGCUGGAGGUACUCCUGGGGUAGGGGUAAAAUCCUAUAAUCCUGGGGGGACCACCGAUGGCGAAGGCAUCCAGCUGGAACGGGCCUGACGGUGAGGGACGAAACCCAGGGGAGCGAGCCGGAUUAGAUACCCAUGUAGUCC
Molecule: ribosomal RNA, 415 nt
Filed under: Methanothermobacter sp. enrichment culture
Lineage: Archaea; Methanobacteriati; Methanobacteriota; Methanobacteria; Methanobacteriales; Methanobacteriaceae
Description: bacterial SSU rRNA
Rfam family: Archaeal small subunit ribosomal RNA
Source: RNAcentral